UUAAGUAUAUAUCGGCAUUCAUAUGUGCUCAGGUUUGGACUCUUAUGAAUCCUGAAAAGUUUCAAGCCAAUUGGACAAUGUACACUUUAGUUACACCCACUUCCUGUUUCGAUGCUGAAACGCACAAAAUGGCCGCCCCGCCAAGGCCAUGCCCUAUGACAGAAAGUUUUUCUUUAACAAAAAAUGUCAUCUC
Molecule: long non-coding RNA, 193 nt
Organism: Etheostoma cragini (Arkansas darter)
Lineage: Eukaryota; Metazoa; Chordata; Actinopteri; Perciformes; Percidae
Exons: 4
Source: RefSeq, a predicted model, not a curated record